RNAcentral lists this ribosomal RNA (882 nucleotides) under Burkholderia vietnamiensis. RNAcentral's name for it is "bacterial SSU rRNA". It matches the Rfam family "Bacterial small subunit ribosomal RNA", at positions 55 to 935 of the family's 1533-position model. Lineage: Bacteria; Pseudomonadati; Pseudomonadota; Betaproteobacteria; Burkholderiales; Burkholderiaceae. The record is from RNAcentral.
AUGCAGUCGAACGGCAGCACGGGUGCUUGCACCUGGUGGCGAGUGGCGAACGGGUGAGUAAUACAUCGGAACAUGUCCUGUAGUGGGGGAUAGCCCGGCGAAAGCCGGAUUAAUACCGCAUACGAUCUAUGGAUGAAAGCGGGGGACCUUCGGGCCUCGCGCUAUAGGGUUGGCCGAUGGCUGAUUAGCUAGUUGGUGGGGUAAAGGCCUACCAAGGCGACGAUCAGUAGCUGGUCUGAGAGGACGACCAGCCACACUGGGACUGAGACACGGCCCAGACUCCUACGGGAGGCAGCAGUGGGGAAUUUUGGACAAUGGGCGAAAGCCUGAUCCAGCAAUGCCGCGUGUGUGAAGAAGGCCUUCGGGUUGUAAAGCACUUUUGUCCGGAAAGAAAUCCUUGGCUCUAAUACAGCCGGGGGAUGACGGUACCGGAAGAAUAAGCACCGGCUAACUACGUGCCAGCAGCCGCGGUAAUACGUAGGGUGCAAGCGUUAAUCGGAAUUACUGGGCGUAAAGCGUGCGCAGGCGGUUUGCUAAGACCGAUGUGAAAUCCCCGGGCUCAACCUGGGAACUGCAUUGGUGACUGGCAGGCUAGAGUAUGGCAGAGGGGGGUAGAAUUCCACGUGUAGCAGUGAAAUGCGUAGAGAUGUGGAGGAAUACCGAUGGCGAAGGCAGCCCCCUGGGCCAAUACUGACGCUCAUGCACGGAGAGGGGUGGGGGAGGAAACAGAUAGAUACCCUGGUAGUCCACGCCCUAAACGAUGUCAACUAGUUGUUGGGGAUUCAUUUCCUUAGUAACGAAGCUAACGCGUGAGUUGACCGCCUGGGGAUACGGUCGCAGAUUAAUACUCAAGGAAUUGACGGGGACCCGCACAAGCGGUGG